UUAUAGUCUAUAAUUUGUUUGCGUUAAGGAUUGGAGCGGCAUCCUUUUUGUUUUUACAAAAAGAUAUAGUGUAAAGCCUGACCUUUU
This 87-nucleotide small RNA is filed under the name Polaribacter atrinae. Its description in RNAcentral is "Flavo-1 RNA". It matches the Rfam family "Flavo-1 RNA". Lineage: Bacteria; Pseudomonadati; Bacteroidota; Flavobacteriia; Flavobacteriales; Flavobacteriaceae. The record is from Rfam by way of RNAcentral.